Molecule: unclassified non-coding RNA, 229 nt
Filed under: fungal sp.
Lineage: Eukaryota; Fungi
Description: partial internal transcribed spacer region
Rfam family: Eukaryotic small subunit ribosomal RNA (bases 1-46)
Source: RNAcentral
AAGUCGUAACAAGGUUUCCGUAGGUGAACCUGCGGAAGGAUCAUCAAUGAAUUUUUUAGCCAAAACCAAAAAAACUUGGGCAAAAUUAUUAUUUGCCUUUGGCCAAAAAAAACAAACUUUCAGGUUAAAGUAUUUAAAAAGUAGCUUUACCUGAAUUUUACCUAAAAUAAAAAUUACUUUUUAACACAAAAAACAACUUUCGGCAACGGAUCUCUCGGCUCUCCCAUCG